Molecule: ribosomal RNA, 253 nt
Filed under: uncultured bacterium
Lineage: Bacteria
Description: partial 16S ribosomal RNA
Rfam family: Bacterial small subunit ribosomal RNA
Source: RNAcentral
UACGGGGGGGGUAAGCGUUGUUCGGAAUUACUGGGCGUAAAGGGCUCGUAGGCGGCCAACUAAGUCAGACGUGAAAUCCCUCAGCUUAACUGGGGAACUGCGUCUGAUACUGGAUGGCUUGGAUUCGGGAGAGUAAUGCGGAAUUCCAGGUGUAGCGGUGAAAUGCGUAGAUAUCUGGAGGAACACCGGUGGCGAAGGCGGCAUUCUGGACCGACAUUGACGCUGAGGAGCGAAAGCCAGGGGAGCAAACGGG